Long non-coding RNA from Colius striatus (speckled mousebird), 837 nucleotides. RefSeq lists it as uncharacterized. The record is from RefSeq and is a predicted model, not a curated record. The transcript has 4 exons. NCBI's taxonomy places the organism in Eukaryota, Metazoa, Chordata, Aves, Coliiformes, Coliidae.
CAAACAUAUGGCAGAGUGAUCUACUGUGAGACGGCUGUUUGGACCUCUGCCCAGCCCUUCAGGGAUCUCAGGAUCAGUAAGAACCAAUAGUUCUAGGAGAGCCUGCUGUUACUGCUUUGUAUUACUGCCCUGAAUCUUGAUUGUUCACAUCCCCUGUAAACAGUGUUCAUUUUAUGCUAUGUGGAUGUUCCUGAUAUCCAGCAGCUAAAUCAUCUCACGUUGCCACAAGAGAAAACUCAAAGAAUUGGUGAAGUUGCAAAGUCAGGUAGCCAAAUGUCAAGAAACACUUGAGCUCAGGUUGCUGGUGCAACUUUAAUUCUGCUGUCUUCCUGAGAGUAUCUCAACUAUGGCCUGAUGGAGGAACUGUCUACAAAGCACAUUUAAGAGUCUGCAGCUGGCCAAACCUGAGCAGAGUUCUUAACUUGGCAACUCACUUAGCCUUUGCAGCCUAUGCACAAGAUGAAAAGAGAGCUGCAUCCUUGCAUGUCCACAGGAUGAGUUUUCUUUGGAGCUCUAGUAUGUGAUUACCUUCACUGCAGACUAGAAACAUUAUUCAUUCACUGAAUUCUCUGCAGACACCAAUGCUGAGACAAAAGAAAGUUAAAAAGUGGACAUUUCAACAAGAUGUUUCAGUUCAGUAUCUAGUCACUUUCAAUUUUGCUGUUCUGACAUUAGCACAACAUUGUUGCAUGGAUGUGUAUAUAAUGUGUACAGGUUUAUUUUGGAAGAAGUUGGCAUACAUCCUGCUCCUUUCUGAUUUAAGGUCACAAAGUUACCAUAAAGACCUAAUCAUUUCUGAGAUAUAAAAAGCAAAUAAAGUUUAAAAAAACAAAAAAA